CCUACGGGAGGCAGCAGUAGGGAAUAUUGCGCAAUGAGCGAAAGCUUGACGCAGCGACACAGCGUGCACGAUGAAGGUCUUCGGAUCGUAAACCGCUGUCAGCAGGGAAGAACGUUCGCAAUGCGAAUCAGCAGUAGAUUGACGGUACCUGCUCAGAAAGCGACGGCUAACUACGUGCCAGCAGCCGCGGUAAUACAGAGGGCGCGAGCGUUAUUCGGAAUUAUUGGGCGUAAAGCGGUCGUAGGCGGUAUGUCAAGUCUGGGGGGAAAUCCACGCGCUCAACGUGGGAACCGCUUUGGAAACUGGCAAACUGGAGUUUGUGAGAGGAUAGCGGAAUUCCAGGUGAAGGAGUGAAAUGCGUAGAUAUAUGGAAGAACAUCAGAGGCGAAGGCGGCUUUCUGGCACUUAACUGACGCUGAGGAGCGAAAGCGUGGGGAGCAAACAGGAUUAGAUACCCCUGUAGUC
RNAcentral lists this ribosomal RNA (465 nucleotides) under uncultured bacterium. Its description in RNAcentral is "partial 16S ribosomal RNA". It matches the Rfam family "Bacterial small subunit ribosomal RNA", at positions 338 to 795 of the family's 1533-position model. The record is from RNAcentral.